GGAUCCAGACUUUGAUCAUGGCUCAGGACGAACGCUGGCGGCGCGCCUAACACAUGCAAGUCGAGCGGGAAGCUUUUUAAGGAUUCUUCGGAUGAAUUAAAAAGUGGAGAGCGGCGGACGGGUGAGUAACGCGUGAGAAACCUGCCCUAUACAGGGGGAUAGCCAUUGGAAACGAUGAUUAAUACCCCAUAUGACCACAGUAUCGCAUGAUACAGCGGUGAAAACUCCGGUGGUAUAGGAUGGUCUCGCGUCUGAUUAGCUAGUUGGUGGGGUAACGGCCUACCAAGGCGACGAUCAGUAGCCGGCCUGAGAGGGUGACCGGCCACACUGGAACUGAGACACGGUCCAGACUCCUACGGGAGGCAGCAGUGGGGAAUAUUGCACAAUGGGCGAAAGCCUGAUGCAGCGACGCCGCGUGAACGAUGAAGGCUUUCGAGUCGUAAAGUUCUGUUCUUGGGGAAGAUAACGACGGUACCCAAGGAGAAAGCACCGGCUAAAUACGUGCCAGCAGCCGCGGAAU
Molecule: ribosomal RNA, 520 nt
Filed under: uncultured bacterium
Lineage: Bacteria
Description: bacterial SSU rRNA
Rfam family: Bacterial small subunit ribosomal RNA
Source: RNAcentral